UACGUAGGGGGCUAGCGUUGUCCGGAUUUAUUGGGCGUAAAGAGCGUGUAGGCGGCCAGAUAGGUCUGCUGUGAAAACUCGAGGCUCAACCUCGAGACGCCGAUGGAAACCGUUUGGCUAGAGUCCGGAAGAGGAGAGUGGAAUUCCUGGUGUAGCGGUGAAAUGCGCAGAUAUCAGGAGGAACACCCGUGGCUAAGGCGGCUCUCUAGUACGGUACUGACGCUGAGACGCGAAAGCGUGGGGAGCGAACAGG
This 253-nucleotide ribosomal RNA is filed under the name uncultured bacterium. Its description in RNAcentral is "partial 16S ribosomal RNA". It matches the Rfam family "Bacterial small subunit ribosomal RNA", at positions 524 to 776 of the family's 1533-position model. The record is from RNAcentral.